This 492-nucleotide ribosomal RNA is filed under the name uncultured bacterium. Its description in RNAcentral is "partial 16S ribosomal RNA". It matches the Rfam family "Bacterial small subunit ribosomal RNA", at positions 29 to 507 of the family's 1533-position model. The record is from RNAcentral.
AGUGAACGCUGGCGGUAGACCUAACACAUGCAAGUCGAACGGCAGCACAGUAAGAGCUUGCUCUUACGGGUGGCGAGUGGCGGACGGGUGAGGAAUACAUCGGAAUCUACUUUUUCGUGGGGGAUAACGUAGGGAAACUUACGCUAAUACCGCAUACGACCUACGGGUGAAAGCAGGGGAUCUUCGGACCUUGCGCGAUUGAAUGAGCCGAUGUCGGAUUAGCUAGUUGGCGGGGUAAAGGCCCACCAAGGCGACGAUCCGUAGCUGGUCUGAGAGGAUGAUCAGCCACACUGGAACUGAGACACGGUCCAGACUCCUACGGGAGGCAGCAGUGGGGAAUAUUGGACAAUUGGCGCAAGCCUGAUCCAGCCAUACCGCGUGGGUGAAGAAGGCCUUCGGGUUGUAAAGCCCUUUUGUUGGGAAAGAAAAGCAGCAGGUUAAUACCCCGCUGUUCUGACGGUACCCAAAGAAUAAGCACCGGCUAACUUCGUG